GAUGAACGCUGGCGGCGUGCCUAAUACAUGCAAGUCGAGCGAACGGACGAGAAGCUUGCUUCUCUGAUGUUAGCGGCGGACGGGUGAGUAACACGUGGAUAACCUACCUAUAAGACUGGGAUAACUUCGGGAAACCGGAGCUAAUACCGGAUAAUAUUUCGAACCGCAUGGUUCAAAAGUGAAAGACGGUCUUGCUGUCACUUAUAGAUGGAUCCGCGCUGCAUUAGCUAGUUGGUAAGGUAACGGCUUACCAAGGCAACGAUGCAUAGCCGACCUGAGAGGGUGAUCGGCCACACUGGAACUGAGACACGGUCCAGACUCCUACGGGAGGCAGCAGUAGGGAAUCUUCCGCAAUGGGCGAAAGCCUGACGGAGCAACGCCGCGUGAGUGAUGAAGGUCUUCGGAUCGUAAAACUCUGUUAUUAGGGAAGAACAUAUGUGUAAGUAACUGUGCACAUCUUGACGGUACCUAAUCAGAAAGCCACGGCUAACUACGUGCCAGCAGCCGCGGUAAUACGUAGGUGGCAAGCGUUAUCCGGAAUUAUUGGGCGUAAAGCGCGCGUAGGCGGUUUUUUAAGUCUGAUGUGAAAGCCCACGGCUCAACCGUGGAGGGUCAUUGGAAACUGGAAAACUUGAGUGCAGAAGAGGAAAGUGGAAUUCCAUGUGUAGCGGUGAAAUGCGCAGAGAUAUGGAGGAACACCAGUGGCGAAGGCGACUUUCUGGUCUGUAACUGACGCUGAUGUGCGAAAGCGUGGGGAUCAAACAGGAUUAGAUACCCUGGUAGUCCACGCCGUAAACGAUGAGUGCUAAGUGUUAGGGGGUUUCCGCCCCUUAGUGCUGCAGCUAACGCAUUAAGCACUCCGCCUGGGGAGUACGACCGCAAGGUUGAAACUCAAAGGAAUUGACGGGGACCCGCACAAGCGGUGGAGCAUGUGGUUUAAUUCGAAGCAACGCGAAGAACCUUACCAAAUCUUGACAUCCUUUGACAACUCUAGAGAUAGAGCUUUCCCCUUCGGGGGACAAAGUGACAGGUGGUGCAUGGUUGUCGUCAGCUCGUGUCGUGAGAUGUUGGGUUAAGUCCCGCAACGAGCGCAACCCUUAAGCUUAGUUGCCAUCAUUAAGUUGGGCACUCUAAGUUGACUGCCGGUGACAAACCGGAGGAAGGUGGGGAUGACGUCAAAUCAUCAUGCCCCUUAUGAUUUGGGCUACACACGUGCUACAAUGGACAAUACAAAGGGCAGCGAAACCGUGAGGUCAAGCAAAUCCCAUAAAGUUGUUCUCAGUUCGGAUUGUAGUCUGCAACUCGACUACAUGAAGCUGGAAUCGCUAGUAAUCGUAGAUCAGCAUGCUACGGUGAAUACGUUCCCGGGUCU
This 1372-nucleotide ribosomal RNA is filed under the name uncultured bacterium. Its description in RNAcentral is "bacterial SSU rRNA". It matches the Rfam family "Bacterial small subunit ribosomal RNA", at positions 28 to 1381 of the family's 1533-position model. The record is from RNAcentral.